GUGAACAAUUAAGGGCGCGCGGUGGAUGCCUAGGCUCUCGGAGGCGAAGAAGGACGCGAUAAGCCGCGAUAGUCCACGGCGAGGUGCAAGUAACCCUUGACCCGUGGGUUUCCGAAUGGGGCAACCCGGCCGUCUAGAUGACGGUCAUGCAUUAUCAUGCAGGCGAACGCGGGGAACUGAAACAUCUCAUUACCCGCAGGAGAAGAAAACAAAAUGUGAUUCCCCCAGUAGUGGCGAGCGAACGGGGAAGAGCCCAAACCGGUAGCGUUUCGGCGAUACCGGGGUCAUGGGACCACGCCAUUCGAAACAAGAUGAAGUGCAAUUACCUGGAAAGGUAAGCCGCGGAGGGUGAUAGCCCCGUGCACGUCAAUUCUUGUGGAGAUAGUGGAAUCCCGAGUAGGGCGGGACACGAGAAAUCCUGCCUGAAUUCGCCAGGACCUCCUGGCAAGGCUAAAUAACCCCGAGAGACCGAUAGUGAACCCGUACCGCGAGGGAAAGGUGAAAAGAACCCCGAGCAGGGGAGUGAAAUAGACCCUGAACCCGCGCGCCUACAAGCGGUCGGAGCCACGCGAUGUGGUGACGGCGUGCCUUUUGCAUAAUGAGCCUACGAGUUAGUCGUCACCAGCGAGGUUAAGGGCUUCAGGCCCGUAAGCCGAAGUGAAAGCGAGCCUUAACAGGGCGUCAAGUUGGUGGCGCUAGACGCGAAACCUUGUGAUCUACCCACGAGCAGGUUGAAGUCGCGGUAACACGUGAUGGAGGACCGAACCGGUAAACGUUGAAAAGUUUUCGGAUGACUCGCGGGUAGGGGUGAAAGGCCAAUCAAACUGGGAAAUAGCUCGUACUCUCCGAAAUGCAUUUCGGUGCAGCCUGUGAUGUUCUGUUCCAGAGGUAGAGCUACUGGUUGGACGCGAGGGCUUCACCGCCUAUCAAAUCCGGAUAAACUCCGAAUGCUGGAACACGAAAUCAUGGAGUGAGCCCGCGGGUGCUAAGGUCCGCGGACGAGAGGGAAAGAACCCGGACCACCGGCUAAGGUCCCGGAUGGACAGUUAAGUUGAUCAAACGAGGUGGGAUCGCCGAGACAGCUAGGAUGUUGGCUUGGAAGCAGCCAUUCAUUUAAAGAGUGCGUAACAGCUCACUAGUCGAGCGAUCCCGCGUGGAUAAUACACGGGCAUUAAACUGUCAACCGAAGCCGUGGGGUCAGUGUUGAACUGACCGGUAGGAGAGCAUUCCUGCCAGCGUUGAAGGUCACCCGCGAGAGUGACUGGAGCGGCAUGAAAAGCAAAUGUAGGCAUAAGUAACGAUAAUGGGGGCGAGAACCCCCCACGCCGCAAGACCAAGGCUUCCCCGGCAAUGUCAAUCAGCCGGGGGUCAGCCGGCCUCUAAGGCUAACCCGAAGGGGGAUGCCGACGAGAAACGGGUUAACAUUCCCGUGCUUCUCGUCACCGUGACGCGGUGACGGGGUGAUGAAUGGACCGCGCGCUGACGGAAUAGCGCGUUGAAGGCCGUACCCUUCGAGGGUGGUAGUCAAGCACGCCACCCGAGGCGAUAGCCGAUAGUACCACGAGACUCCGGUCGAGUGGAUAGCGUCCAGGCAAUUUACCCCCGAGAAAACCCGCUAAACUUCAAGUGACGAGGAACCGUACUGUAAACGGACACACGUGGUCGGGUAGAACAUACCAAGGCGCUCGAGUGAUUCAUGGUCAAGGAACUAGGCAAAAUAGUCCUGUAACUUCGGGAAAAAGGACGCUCUAGUGAUAGAGCCGCAGAGUAAUGGCCCAGGCGACUGUUUACCAAAAACACAUGGCUAUGCCAAAUCGAAAGAUGACGUAUAUGGCCUGACACCUGCCCGGUGCCGGAAGGUUAAGAGGAGAGCUCAUCGGAAACGAGAAGGUUUGAAUUGAAGCCCCGGUAAACGGCGGCCGUAACUAUAACGGUCCUAAGGUAGCGAAAUUCCUUGUCGGGU
Molecule: ribosomal RNA, 1963 nt
Filed under: human gut metagenome
Description: bacterial LSU rRNA
Rfam family: Bacterial large subunit ribosomal RNA
Source: RNAcentral